This is a long non-coding RNA of Nymphaea colorata (pocket water lily), 961 nucleotides long. RefSeq lists it as uncharacterized. The record is from RefSeq and is a predicted model, not a curated record. NCBI's taxonomy places the organism in Eukaryota, Viridiplantae, Streptophyta, Magnoliopsida, Nymphaeales, Nymphaeaceae. The transcript is spliced from 3 exons.
ACGACAGUUUUUUCCUCUCAUGGAGGGAGGGAAAUCCCUAAGAGGGAAGGCCUGAAGAAGGAGAAUAUCGGGCUGCAUAUGGAGGCCCAUCAGAGAUGAUCGAUCUGCCACUGAGGAGAUCGAGCUGAACUUCAGAUUGUCCGUCUCUGGAGGAACUUAUUGGCGGAGGGUACCUUUGAUGAUGAUCUUCUUUGUUGAUGUCAGAGGUUCGAGGGCUUGAGGCUGUGAAUCUUGGUUUGGCUUUUCAUAAUCAGCUCGGAAAAGCGAAAGAGUUUGUUGUUAGGGCUCUCCGCUGCAAAGGGGUUGCCGUUGCUGAAAGCAGUCCGGAGUCCUCAGCCGUUCCCUGCUUUCUUUUCCUGAUUUUGAUAGGGUCGGCCGGUCACUGGAGAGAGGGGGGAGGACGAAGCAGGGUUCCAAGAACGAGCCCCCAUUUGGAUAUUCUCAUCAGUCUUACAAGAAAAUCGAUUUAAAGUUUGAACAUUUCAUUCGUCCUUUGUCGAAAACGAUCAUGUUCAUGUUAGAAAAUUUUGAAUGCAGGCAUGAAGACGAGAUGAGAGUUGAAAGGCGAAUUAUACGGUAAAUUAUUCAAGAGAAAAUUGCAUUUGAUAAUAUACUUCUCUCUUUUUCAAGAAACUGUGUCAUAUUUGAAGCUGAAGGAACAAACGAGGUUGUUAAACGCAAACUAGGAAACAACAAAUGUACCGUGUAUAGGAGAGUGCUUGGCAUCAGGGGGGAAGCUUUUUCCCGUUGCCCAUUGCAAUUGUAGGUAGCGAAUGAGGAAUCGGGCACCUGCAAUGCAACUGGUUUACAGGUCACAGUGAUAAGCUCACUACGCUUACAAGCGCGUGUGCGCGAUCAGCACAGAUCAUAAUCUCCUGCGAAUUUCACAGGGGAGGAAGAAAUAUACCUCCGAGGAGCAGCAAAAGGAAAGAAAGAAUGCGCGCUUUCUGUAAUCCUUCCC